This 492-nucleotide ribosomal RNA is filed under the name uncultured bacterium. RNAcentral describes it as "partial 16S ribosomal RNA". It matches the Rfam family "Bacterial small subunit ribosomal RNA", at positions 29 to 507 of the family's 1533-position model. The record is from RNAcentral.
AGUGAACGCUGGCGGUAGGCCUAACACAUGCAAGUCGAACGGCAGCACAGUAAGAGCUUGCUCUUACGGGUGGCGAGUGGCGGACGGGUGAGGAAUACAUCGGAAUCUACUUUUUCGUGGGGGAUAACGUAGGGAAACUUACGCUAAUACCGCAUACGACCUACGGGUGAAAGCAGGGGAUCUUCGGACCUUGCGCGAUUGAAUGAGCCGAUGUCGGAUUAGCUAGUUGGCGGGGUAAAGGCCCACCAAGGCGACGAUCCGUAGCUGGUCUGAGAGGAUGGUAAGCCACAAUGGAACGUAGACACGGUCCAGGCUCCUAAGGGAGGCAGCAGUGGGGAAUAUUGGACAACGGGGGCAAGCCUGAUCCAGCCAUACCGCGGGGGUUAAGAAGGCCUUCGGGUUGUAAAGACCGUUUUUUGGGAAAGAAAAGCAGCAGGUUAAUACCCCGCUGUUCUGACGGUACCCAAAGAAUAAGCACCGGCUAACUUCGUG